RNAcentral lists this non-coding RNA (71 nucleotides) under Paraburkholderia phenazinium. RNAcentral's name for it is "Burkholderia phenazinium Burkholderia sRNA 54". It matches the Rfam family "Burkholderia sRNA 54". Rfam says of the family: Identified by RNA-seq, RACE and Northern blot. Strongly expressed in biofilm. Lineage: Bacteria; Pseudomonadati; Pseudomonadota; Betaproteobacteria; Burkholderiales; Burkholderiaceae. The record is from Rfam by way of RNAcentral.
CCCUCUCUCAGGUUCUGGCGGCCCUCGGAAUAGCCAGAACUUUUCACGCCAGCGCAAGCUGGCGUUUUUUU